GGCCAGACUCCUACGGGAGGCAGCAGUGGGGAAUAUUGGACAAUGGGGGGAACCCUGAUCCAGCGACGCCGCGUGGGUGAAGGAGAGUUUCGGCGCGUAAAGCCCUAUCGGCAGGGAAGAAGGAGGAAGGUACCUGACUAAGAAGCCCCGACUAACUACGUGCCAGCAGCCGCGGUAAUACGUAGGGGGCAAGCGUUAUCCGGAUUUACUGGGUGUAAAGGGGGCGCAGACGGCAGCGCAAGCCAGGAGUGAAAGCCCGGGGCCCAACCCCGGGACUGCUCUUGGAACUGCGCGGCUGGAGUGCAGGAGGGGCAGGCGGAAUUCCUGGUGUAGCGGUGAAAUGCGUAGAUAUCAGGAGGAACACCGGUGGCGAAGGCGGCCUGCUGGACUGCGACUGACGUUGAGGCCCGAAAGCGUGGGGAGCAACCAGGAUUAGAUACCCGGGUAGG
This 449-nucleotide ribosomal RNA is filed under the name uncultured bacterium. RNAcentral describes it as "partial 16S ribosomal RNA". It matches the Rfam family "Bacterial small subunit ribosomal RNA", at positions 329 to 794 of the family's 1533-position model. The record is from RNAcentral.